Mercurialis annua (annual mercury) is the source of this 790-nucleotide long non-coding RNA. RefSeq lists it as uncharacterized. The transcript has 2 exons. The record is from RefSeq and is a predicted model, not a curated record. Lineage: Eukaryota; Viridiplantae; Streptophyta; Magnoliopsida; Malpighiales; Euphorbiaceae.
CCCCGCAUUUUUGGAGAAAUGUUUAAUUGGAUUAAACAUAUUAUUUUAGCCAAAGGGAGCUAAAAUAAGGAAAAAUAGCCCGUAUAAUUUUUAUCAUUGGAAAAUUUGGAUUUAAGCCCGGAAUUAUUAUCGACGUGCUUAAGUAAUAAAUUAAUUUAAUAAAUUAAUAAGCAAAAGAAAAAAAAAUAUAAAAUAUAGUGUAGAGACAUAUUAAAUAGUAGGCCUAAUUAACAACAAUACAAGUCCAAACAAAUAGUAAAAGAGAAAACUCAAAGUCCAAGCCCAAUUUCUUUCAUUAUUAAUAAUUAAAAUAGAGAUAUUAAUAAGGAUAAUAGAAACAAAGGAGAAAAAGAAGGAGAUUUCCAGAAUUUUCCUCUUCUUCUUCUCUAAACCAUUUCUCAUCCCAAAACUUCCAUUUUCCACCAAAAUCAUGAAGGAAUCUUGGAUAUUUUGAGGAUUAAGCUAAGAUUCUAUCUAUAGCAACAAUAAUCAAGGUACUCAGUAGAUCAAGGUUGACCCGAGCUUCCAUUCUUGAUCCGGAAAGCUCGCUCUUUUGACAUGUACAGUUUCUGUCUUUUGCUCUAGCGCUGCAGUAGAUAGUCAGGCUAGUUUAUUUUUGUCGAGGUCUAUAGCGGUAUGGUUGUAUUUUGGGUUAUCACCGCUUUUUGUCAAUAGUUUUUGAUAGGUCUCGUUUCUGGUAAUAAACAAUUAUCAGAGGUAGUUUUAGAUUAACUGUUUAACUUACAAAUGAUGAUUGAUGAUAUUUAUAUAAUGGCUGUCAAGUUGUAUA